GAUGAACGCUGGCGGCGUGCCUAAUACAUGCAAGUCGAGCGAACAGACGAGGAGCUUGCUCCUCUGACGUUAGCGGCGGACGUGUGAGUAACACGUGGAUAACCUCCCUAUAAGACUGGGAUAACUUCGGGAAACCGGAGCUAAUACAGGCUAAUAUCUUGAACCGCAUGGUUCAAUAGUGAAAGCCGGUUUUGCUGUCACUUAUAGAUGGAUCCGCGCCGCAUUAGCUAGUUGGUAAGGUAACGGCUUACCAAGGCGACGAUGCGUAGCCGACCUGAGAGGGUGAUCGGCCACACUGGAACUGAGACACGGUCCAGACUCCUACGGGAGGCAGCAGUAGGGAAUCUUCCGCAAUGGGCGAAAGCCUGACGGAGCAACGCCGCGUGAGUGAUGAAGGUCUUCGGAUCGUAAAACUCUGUUAUUAGGGAAGAACAAAUGUGUAAGUAACUAUGCACGUCUUGACGGUACCUAAUCAGAAAGCCACGGCUAACUACGUG
RNAcentral lists this ribosomal RNA (497 nucleotides) under uncultured bacterium. RNAcentral's name for it is "partial 16S ribosomal RNA". It matches the Rfam family "Bacterial small subunit ribosomal RNA", at positions 28 to 507 of the family's 1533-position model. The record is from RNAcentral.